Ribosomal RNA from Bacillus rossius redtenbacheri, 157 nucleotides. RefSeq annotates it as 5.8S ribosomal RNA. The transcript has a single exon. NCBI's taxonomy places the organism in Eukaryota, Metazoa, Arthropoda, Insecta, Phasmatodea, Bacillidae. The record is from RefSeq and is a predicted model, not a curated record.
AACCCUGAACGGUGGAUCACUUGGCUCGUGGGUCGAUGAAGGGCGCUGCAAACUGCGCGUCGUCGUGUGAACUGCAGGACACAUGAACAUCGACAUUUUUGAACGCACAUUGCGGUCCAUGGGAUUCCAUUCCCGGACCACACCCGUCUGAGGGUCC